Molecule: ribosomal RNA, 440 nt
Filed under: uncultured bacterium
Lineage: Bacteria
Description: partial 16S ribosomal RNA
Rfam family: Bacterial small subunit ribosomal RNA
Source: RNAcentral
CUACGGGGGGCUGCAGUCGAGAAUCUUCCGCAAUGCGCGAAAGCGUGACGGAGCAAUGCCGCGUGCAGGAUGACGGCCUUCGGGUUGUAAACUGCUGUCACUCGGGAUGAAUUUUGACAGUACCGAGAGAGGAAGCCACGGCUAACUACGUGCCAGCAGCCGCGGUAAUACGUAGGUGGCGAGCGUUAUUCGGAUUUAUUGGGCGUAAAGGGUUCGUAGGAGGUUAGGUAAGUCUGAUGUGAAAUCCCAUGGCUCAACCAUGGAACUGCAUUGGAUACUGCCUGACUAGAGUACCGGAGAGGUAAGCGGAAUUCCUGGUGUAGCGGUGGCAUGCGUAGAUAUCAGGAGGAACACCGAUGGCGAAGGCAGCUUACUGGACGGAAACUGACUCUGAGGAACGAAAGCUAGGGUAGCAAACAGGAUUAGAUACCCCCGUAGUC